GGCUCAGUGGUAGAGUGCUUGCCUUGCAUGUAAGAGUCCCUGGGUUCGAUUCCUCAG
RNAcentral lists this transfer RNA (57 nucleotides) under Dipodomys ordii (Ord's kangaroo rat). It matches the Rfam family "tRNA", at positions 9 to 63 of the family's 71-position model. From Rfam's summary of the family: Transfer RNA (tRNA) molecules are approximately 80 nucleotides in length. Their secondary structure includes four short double-helical elements and three loops (D, anti-codon, and T loops). The record is from Rfam by way of RNAcentral. Lineage: Eukaryota; Metazoa; Chordata; Mammalia; Rodentia; Heteromyidae.